ACGGCUCAGUAACACGUGGACAACCUACCCUUGGGUCUGGCAUAAUCCUGGGAAACUGGGUAUAAUUCCAGAUAGGUCACAGAUGCUGGAAUGCACUGUGGCCGAAAGCUCCGGCGCCCAAGGAUGGGUCUGCGGCCUAUCAGGGUUGUAGUGGGUGUAACGGACCUACUAGCCUACGACGGGUACGGGUUGUGAGAGCAAGAGCCCGGAGAUGGAUUCUGAGACACGAAUCCAGGCCCUACGGGGUGCAGCAGGCGCGAAAACUUUACAAUGCGGGAAACCGUGAUAAGGGAAUCUCGAGUGCCAGCAUAUAAUGUUGGCUGUCCAGAUGCCUAAAAAGCAUCUGUUAGCAAGGGCCGGGCAAGACCGGUGCCAGCCGCCGCGGUAACACCGGCGGCCCGAGUGGUAACCGCUUUUAUUGGGUCUAAAGGGUCUGUAGCCGGCCAAGUAAGUCCCUUGGGAAAUCUGGCAGCUUAACUGUCAGGCUGCUAGGGGAUACUGCUAGGCUUGGGACCGGGAGAGGUGAGAGGUACCUUGGGGGUAGGGGUGAAAUCUUGUGAUCCUCGGGGGACCACCAGUGGCGAAGGCGUCUCACCAGAACGGGUCCGACGGUAAGGGACGAAAGCUAGGGGCACGAACCGGAUUAGAUACCCGGGUAGUCCUAGCCGUAAACGAUGCUCGCUAGGUGUCAGUCACGGUGCGACCGUGAUUGGUGCCGUAGGGAAGCCGUGAAGCGAGCCACCUGGGAAGUAUGGCCGCAAGGCUGAAACUUAAAGGAAUUGGCGGGGGAGCAC
Molecule: ribosomal RNA, 794 nt
Filed under: uncultured Methanosaeta sp.
Lineage: Archaea; Methanobacteriati; Methanobacteriota; Methanomicrobia; Methanotrichales; Methanotrichaceae
Also listed under: 3 other names
Description: bacterial SSU rRNA
Rfam family: Archaeal small subunit ribosomal RNA
Source: RNAcentral